RNAcentral lists this transfer RNA (72 nucleotides) under Salmo salar (Atlantic salmon). It matches the Rfam family "tRNA". From Rfam's summary of the family: Transfer RNA (tRNA) molecules are approximately 80 nucleotides in length. Their secondary structure includes four short double-helical elements and three loops (D, anti-codon, and T loops). The record is from Rfam by way of RNAcentral. RNAcentral also lists the same sequence under 1 other name. Lineage: Eukaryota; Metazoa; Chordata; Actinopteri; Salmoniformes; Salmonidae.
UCCCAUGUGGCUCAGUUGGUAGAGCAUGGCGCUUGUAUCGCCAAGGUUGUGGGUGCAAUUCCCACGGGGGAC